CGAGGGAGCCGGGUUAUGCAUUGCCAACCCGUUCCUUCGUGUUUCUUCGACCUUUAUGCGGUUUUUUUUUCUGUGUCGGGAAGAAGCCUGCAGCUUGGUGCACCAUGUUGUCUUCUUUCUAGCGUGGUGUACUUGAAAGACCAAGGGCCCAUGUAAAGCGCGUUCUGCUCGACGCUCCAGCUUAAACUCCAGAGCAAGGCCUGGUCUGAAGGGUCAACAGACACCUUCUGGCGUAGACAGGUCAACUUCAGGCAUAUUUGGUCAGGUGUAUCACUGCAACUUUCACACUGGCAAGCAAGCAUGCCGGUGAAGAAAGCCUGGACAGGAUAUCAGCAACACCUUAUCUAGGUGUCAUUGGCUGCAGCCUUCAAGAAGUCAAGCACGCUUGUGGAAAGGCCGUCUCAAGCGACAAUGCGUGAUUAUGAAAUUUCCAACCGAAAUUUUGUUUUUCAAUGGCCUGAUUGAUAUGUAAACUGUGUUAUAUGCGGAUGGUGAGAGGGACUUUAGGCAGUUCCAACUUCCUCCACUAAUGUAUCACAGGUAGGAUGCACUUAAAAUUUGAGAUUGAGGCUACCUCACACUGCAAAAAUUCAGUGUUUGUUCCAUAUAUAUGAAUGAUUAGGUUCACCAGCCACUUUAGGUCUAAAGACCCAGCGAGAUAGAUUUCUGUUGAAUACGUUCGCCUUUAAAUUGCGCCAUAUAGCGCAUGAAUGGCUUGUCUCUUAACAUUGUGCCUAUCCCAGCAAACUUGAACUACGAUCUUUAUUCCUGUUUCCUUUCCUACUAAGGAUGUCUUUUUUCAAAAAGCACAUGAAAGUUUGUUGCUCCUUAACGUUGUUUCCUUUUUAUUUCUCGAGCAAUAUCUGUUUGCAAAGCUAUUUCUACUGACAGGUGUUGUGUGUUUAUUCAUGGGUAACACCUGGGUCAUUCUAAACAGUGUUCAAUUAUUUCGGUGGCCAUGUCAAAUGUAUUGGGUCAUUUCAUAUCAAGUGCACCCGGUCAAGUUUCUACCAUCUCCGACCAUGUAAAAAAGAGUAUUGUGCAGGUAUAAGUGAAUGCGAGUAGUAGUUUUUGAGCCAUUAUAUUUCGCAGAAUUUUGUGUUGCCUACUAGACGGCACUUUGAAUUUUAGGUGCCCAGGUGAAACUGUGUCACACUAAUUGAUUUAUAUAUUAUUGCUGGUUCGAUCAAUUAUAAUGAUACAGUGUUAUCGUUAUUCUCAAGGUGCUACUCUUUAACGACUCUGAUAGGUUACUCAUUUUAUCUUUAUUUUUGCCUUGGCAAUAAGUUUCCAUAUGCUGCAUGUUUACCAAUUUUUUAUAAAAAGAACAACUUUUUCACAAUACUGUAAUGUGUUCACGUUUUCUGUUUUAUAUGUUCCCCUAAUUCCAGCAUAUAACAAAAACCAUUACAUUUGCUGCACAAAAUUUCUGUCUGGCGUUCUAUAAUUUCAUAAUGCAAUGUCGGUAUCACACAAGUUAGUGCAGUUGACAUAUUUCAGGCAUUUAACUUCUGAAGCCCAAGUAUGUGACUGGCACAGUUUAUGGAGCAUGAAUUUAUUUUGUUAUUCUAUUUUCGUUCCCAUAUACACAGGGCAUAUCAUUCCGACUAAACGCUGUGUUAAAGGCAGAGUCGGCGGAGUAGCUUGAAGGGUGCUCAGCCUUGUAAAAAUAUUUUGAAGAAUAAAUGUGCGAGUAUUCACAAAA
Molecule: long non-coding RNA, 1705 nt
Filed under: Rhipicephalus microplus (southern cattle tick)
Lineage: Eukaryota; Metazoa; Arthropoda; Arachnida; Ixodida; Ixodidae
Description: uncharacterized LOC119172503
Source: RNAcentral